AGUGAACGCUGGCGGUAGGCCUAACACAUGCAAGUCGAACGGCAGCACAGUAAGAGCUUGCUCUUACGGGUGGCGAGUGGCGGACGGGUGAGGAAUACAUCGGAAUCUACUUUUUCGUGGGGGAUAACGUAGGGAAACUUACGCUAAUACCGCAUACGACCUACGGGUGAAAGCAGGGGAUCUUCGGACCUUGCGCGAUUGAAUGAGCCGAUGUCGGAUUAGCUAGUUGGCGGGGUAAAGGCCACCAAGGCGACGAUCCGUAGCUGGUCUGAGAGGAUGAUCAGCCACACUGGAACUGAGACACGGUCCAGACUCCUACGGGAGGCAGCAGUGGGGAAUAUUGGACAAUUGGCGCAAGCCUGAUCCAGCCAUACCGCUUGGGUGAAGAAGGCCUUCGGGUUGUAAAGCCCUUUUGUUGGGAAAGAAAAGCAGCAGGUUAAUACCCCGCUGUUCUGACGGUACCCAAAGAAUAAGCACCGGCUAACUUCGUG
Molecule: ribosomal RNA, 491 nt
Filed under: uncultured bacterium
Lineage: Bacteria
Description: partial 16S ribosomal RNA
Rfam family: Bacterial small subunit ribosomal RNA
Source: RNAcentral